RNAcentral lists this ribosomal RNA (468 nucleotides) under uncultured bacterium. RNAcentral describes it as "partial 16S ribosomal RNA". It matches the Rfam family "Bacterial small subunit ribosomal RNA", at positions 28 to 507 of the family's 1533-position model. The record is from RNAcentral.
GACGAACGCUGGCGGCGUGCUUAACACAUGCAAGUCGAACGGAAAGGCCCUGCUUUUGUGGGGUUCUCGAUUGGCGAACGGGUGAGUAACACGUGAGUAACCUGCCCUUGACUUUGGGAUAACUUCAGGAAACUGGGGCUAAUACCCGGUAGGAGCUCCUGAUGCACGGUGUGGGUUGGAAAGUUUCGGCGGUUGGGGAUGGACUCGCGGCUUAUCAGCUUCUUGGUGGGGUAGUGGCUUACCAAGGCUGUGACGGGUAGCCGGCCUGAGAGGGUGACCGGCCACAUUGGGACUGCGAUACGGACCAGACUCCUACGGGAGGCAGCAGUGGGGAAUAUUGCACAAUGGGCGGAAGCCUGAUGCAGCAACGCCGCGUGCGGGAUGACGGCCUUCGGGUUGUAAACCGCUUUCGCCUGUGACGAAGCGUGAGUGACGGUAAUGGGUAAAGAAGCACCGGCUAACUACGUG